This is a long non-coding RNA of Numida meleagris (helmeted guineafowl), 3820 nucleotides long. RefSeq lists it as uncharacterized. Lineage: Eukaryota; Metazoa; Chordata; Aves; Galliformes; Numididae. The transcript is spliced from 3 exons. The record is from RefSeq and is a predicted model, not a curated record.
UGUCCACUGAAAGCCUCCACCUCACUCUGUGUCGCUUUCCUUUCAGAUUUUGAUAUUCUGAAUUUUAGGAAAAGGGCAGAAAAGAAAAGAAAGAGAAAAAAAGAAGGAAAAAGAGAAGACAACUGCUAGCAGUCAUACUGCAGUGUGUCCUGGCUCCCCAGUAUGUAACGAUGGUCAGGGAGCUUAGAAAAGGAGAGAGUCAUGAAGAACGCCUUGAGUAUGAGUUGGAUUCCAGGCAAAACUGGGAAAAAAACUGCGCUUUUUGUGUUUUAUAGUACUGUACUAUCAUCCUAAAUCUAUGUUUUUGUGUCAGCACUCAGCAGAUUUAAGGAGAGCUGCCAUGUGCUCUUGGCUGUGCCAUUCUCCAGAGACCCAACAGCGAUGGUGGCCGUAGUCCCCAGAAGACCUUUCUAGGAGUGCUUCAGUCCACCAUACAGAGAAACCGAAGCAACAAUCUCAAACAGUCAUGAAUUUUUACGACUUCACCAUGAUACUCGACUGAUAAAUGGUUAUGUUGUUUACCCCAUUAAUGAAAGAAAAACUGUGGGUUUAUUUCCUCUGAACACAGAAGUGAAGCACAGCACAAACAUAAACGUGGCAUCAUACCAUUGCCUUUUUCUUACCCAUAAAUACUGCUGGGGCUUUCAGUUUGCCCAGACCUUUCUGCCCUCAUCUUGCUGUUCCUUCACCCUUCUGGUAAACGAGCCCCCAGAGCAGACUUACAAAAUGCGGAUACACUAAGUUUAAUCCUCUUUUCCAGGAAUAGUUGCUACUAAGAUAACGGCAGAAAAACAGAAAACAUAAAAACCUUCAGGCAUCAUUGGCACCAAGCUUUAUUUUUGAGAAGGCCCAGAGAUAGAAGUAAUAACAUGGGAUUCAGUGAAGGCUUCCUGCUGAGGUGUGAUGGAUGCCUGCAUUGCUACCACACAGCACAUCGGUGUGGAGCCUGCUGGCUUGGUGGGUGUCAGGUACAGAUGAUCACUUCCAAGGACACUGUGAACAACUGUUUCAAUAACCCGUAUUUGGAAAAAAGUACCUGCAUAUACAGAUGCAAUAGGUGAAGGAUAAUUCCAUAUUUUAUGUCAACACAUAGAUAUCCUACAGAGUAUUGUUUUUCUUUCUUUUUAUUCCCCCUUGUUUUUUUCCUUUGGUCUGGUUUAUGUUUAGAUUCUUAUUAGAAACAUGUGAUAGUAUCACAAAUGUGAAUUUGGCUGCCAAAAGUUAGGUCCCUGAAAUCAUAUGUAGAUAUCUGAAGUGCCUGACUUUCAGAGAUGCAGGGCUCAGAGUGGCAGAGCAAGCUAGUGAUUUAGGUGCCUACAUACAUCUUCCGGUGCUUGUUUUGAGCAAUCAAACAGGAAAUAUUCUGGCCACUGUAUUCAGGCAAGAAAAUUUAAAAUGACAAGUAUUGGAGCAUCUGAUAAGUUGAACCCUUAAAUCAUUAGCAGAAUUUGGCAAGGCUGUAAACUUUCCAAGACAUUCACUGGGAAUCUCAAAUUAAAUAGUUGGAAUUCCAAGCUCCUCUAAGUUCAUUUGUUAUUGCCAAGGGACCACUUUUAGAUCAACUAUUAGCAAACCUAGGAUUGAUUUAUGAGAAAUUUAGGAGCCUUAGUUCAGCAGUGCAAUUGGUACCAUAUAUUGGUAGGGGCUGCCAGCUCCUGGGAGAAAUGAGCCUUGGCUGUGCUUUUUGCACUACAGUUCUCCCUAGGCGCUCACGCUUUGCUGCACACGCUUGGAGUUGGCUCAGCCCAAGCACUUCACUGCCAGAGGUUUUGCAACUGGUGCAGCUCAAGAAAGGACCAACGGAGAAAGGGACGCUGUGUGUUGAACAGCCUCUUGGCUGCAGCACUCAGGCACACAGCAGAGAAAGUGGAUACUUGGCUGUAUUCAGGAUCUGAAUAACCCAUCAGGAUCUGAAUAACCAUUUAUUUCUCAGGGGCACAAGGGAGUUGCUGUCCCACAACUGACAAUUCCACUGGCUGUAUAAGGCAUUGGAGUAACUCGGAGAGAUGGUCUGAAUUGCCUUGCUGGGCCAGAAGACUGCUAUUUAGGUAUUAAAAUGACCAAUUUAGGCAUCCAUAAUAGGAAGCUUGCUUAUUGCUUCGGUGUGCUAUAACCAUUGCAUAUUAUGCUGUUCAUAAUCGUGUCAUUGUUUCCUUAUGCUUCCUGCUUUAUUACAUCCAUCUGCUGCUCUGUAUUUUACAUUUGAAGUGCAGGCUUUCUGUGCCAUGGCUUUGCUUAAUGCCUAGCAUAUAGUAGAGGCACGCCAACACUCAAAUUCUGCAUUUCCCCCCCAGACCUUGGUAGAAGCACUUGACACUCAAAUGGAACAGUUCAGAGAGUAGAUCAGAAAUAUGCUUAAUUUCUACUUUGACCACCAACAUUUGCAUUGUUUGCGUGCUGAUGCCUGCCACCUAAGGGAGCAAAAAUUCAGAAUGUGGAGGGCAAAUUAAGGGAUUGAUUUUCCUAUUGGUUUCCAGACUCUUUAAGCUGUAAACAUCAUUGUCAACAUACUGAGAAGAAAAGACAGCUUUCACAAAAGCUUUAUAGGCUAUCUUUGCAUCUAUGACAAGCCAGCCCAAACAAGGAAGUACAUUGUUAGCACGCAGGCUCCACUGCCACCCUCUUGUACUCAUAGUGGUUUCACAGAAGCUUCGGUUGCAUGAAGUAUUCCUGCUAGCUUUAAUAAAAUGCCAUAUGUGGGCCAAAGUUUUCAAGAGUUAUCACAUUUCUGGCCGCUCAGCUUAAAGCAGUUCUGCUUUUUCAGAGGGCACCCAAGGAUUCAAAGCCCUGAUCACUUCAUUGCCAACCACCACUUGUUGACAAUGCCAGCACCCCAGACAAGAUAUUGCUCAGGGACCAUAUUUCCCUCCCUGGAAAACCUCUGUGAUGAUCUGAUUGAUGGCUGUUUGUGUACUUCCAUUCAGCAGCCCUUCAGCUGGAGACAGAAACAAUACUCUAGCUGAGAGUAGAGUGAAGGCAAGGAAGGCUAUACAUUUCUAAGCUGCUGCGGAAAAGCCGCAGACUAAUUUGUUAAGAAGCUCUAGAAAUCACAUGUAGCUUCUACAUAAUUCUGUUUAAAAGAAAAACGUGUCUGAUCCCUUGGAUAUCCAUGGAUCCAAAGAUGAAAAGAGAAGUAUUUGAUAUUUUUCCCCACUUGAAUUUUCUAUCCAACAGCUUGGAAAACUAUUAUUUGUAUGACAUUUCAUUAGCUUUAUGUGUGUCUGGAUUAAUGGUAAUGGAAUAAGCAGACUUUUCCGGCUGGCCUGAGAUGAAUAAAUAGGUGAAAUCACAGGACACAUAAUUACUUUCUUCAUUAGUUUGGUUUUUCUUUAUUUCACCAGUUCUACCAGGUGGGACCUGGUUUCCACCAGAAGUGGUUGUUAUCUGGAAGAUGUGUCCAAUGCUGUUCUUUGGUUUUCCCUACUCCAGAUGAAGACACAAGGUAUGAAGUGCUUUGCCCAAUAUUACAUGACAUUUGCAGUCAUGGACAGAUUGUGUUUGCCCAAGUUCAGCCCCAAAGCCAAGCACAAAGCCAUCCCUUCCCCUUCUUCUCCUCCAUGUACAUUGACAAGUGGCCGCUGCAGAGGAAGAGGCAGGGCCUGGUGUGAUGGUGGAGAAGCUGCUAAUAAAGCUCCAGGGCGCACAUUACGCAGGCAGCUCCAGAGACCAGGCUGUGUUAGUAACUGAGAAGAACAGAGCUCAGAUAAAAGGGUGCUGGGAGGGGUCAUUUUGAGGGGCAAUUUGCAAGGAACAAACCAGCAUGUUGUUCUCAGACACGAGGGAUGAACCUGGAGGAAAAAUGGGGCAAGAGACAUUAAGU